This 450-nucleotide ribosomal RNA is filed under the name uncultured bacterium. Its description in RNAcentral is "partial 16S ribosomal RNA". It matches the Rfam family "Bacterial small subunit ribosomal RNA", at positions 354 to 796 of the family's 1533-position model. The record is from RNAcentral.
GUGGGGAAUAUUGCACAAUGGGCGCAAGCCUGAUGCAGCCAUGCCGCGUGUAUGAAGAAGGCCUUCGGGUUGUAAAGUACUUUCAGCGAGGAGGAAGGCAUUAAGGUUAAUAACCUUAGUGAUUGACGUUACUCGCAGAAGAAGCACCGGCUAACUCCGUGCCAGCAGCCGCGGUAAUACGGAGGGUGCAAGCGUUAAUCGGAAUUACUGGGCGUAAAGCGCACGCAGGCGGUCUGUUAAGUCAGAUGUGAAAUCCCCGGGCUCAACCUGGGAACUGCAUUUGAAACUGGCAGGCUUGAGUCUUGUAGAGGGGGGUAGAAUUCCAGGUGUAGCGGUGAAAUGCGUAGAGAUCUGGAGGAAUACCGGUGGCGAAGGCGGCCCCCUGGACAAAGACUGACGCUCAGGUGCGAAAGCGUGGGGAGCAAACAGGAUUAGAUACCCUAGUAGUCC